AUUAUUUAUUUAAACUUCAAUUUUAUGAUAGGGAAUAGGAUGAGGGAUCCUUACUCGAUUCGAUGUCCGAAAAGCUAAGCUGUUUGACUGCGCCUACGGGCGAUUCCUAGGUUCUCUAAAUUUUUUUUUAGAAUUAAAACGUGCUAAUAGUACCUAUAAAUAUCCCAAAUAAACCCAAAAUCAGUCCCGAGGCCCACUUGGCCAAUUUCGAAAUUCUGGCACGGCGUUGCA
Molecule: long non-coding RNA, 231 nt
Filed under: Carica papaya (papaya)
Lineage: Eukaryota; Viridiplantae; Streptophyta; Magnoliopsida; Brassicales; Caricaceae
Description: long non-coding RNA (CPAP_LNC007484)
Source: RNAcentral